RNAcentral lists this long non-coding RNA (1297 nucleotides) under Gallus gallus (chicken). The record is from RNAcentral. Lineage: Eukaryota; Metazoa; Chordata; Aves; Galliformes; Phasianidae.
CCCAGCUCAGGCAGCACCACAAGCCAGUGCCUGCUCAGCUAUAUCCAGCCCUGAAGGAUUGAAGCUCCCAGUGUCUGCCAAGUAUAAAACAUGGAGAACGUGGCCCUGGCAGACCAGGCCACACAGCAGCUUCCAUGUGUGGGUGCUCCCUCCAAGUCCUUCUCAACAGCAGUCUGAACUCAGCGGUUCACAAACACAAAGUUGUGCUAUGGGAAGAUUACUGACGGCUCAUUGACAAGAACUGGAAUAUGCAACCUGCAUACAAGGACGUUUUGAUAUCUUUGUCCUGGUGAAGUGAGGAGUCUGGAAUUAAACUACAUGUAAUACACACCAGGGCAUAGGACAGCACUCAGUCUUGUGUGUUGGUGCUCACCGCACCUUACCAUUUAAAGGAUCUCCCUGCUCAGCACUGUGAAAAGACUCCCACAUCAGCCUGCUGGGCAGACAUUUCCUUUCCAGAGAAUACAGAGGUGAUAUGUUCAUGUUAAGAGCGAAAAUGCAAGUCCUGCUGAGAGACUGGAACUCUUAUGAUUGCUGGAUGAGGAUUUUGCUGCGCCAUUCAACCCUACCCGCAGCGGCCCACGUUCUGCAGUCUGGCUGGGUGCUACGUACAGCGUGUCUUUGGGUGAGUGAUUCACUAACUCCUUGCAGUCUCCAGCUAACCCCACAGGAGCACAGCUGUUUAUACUUACAUCUGUUGUUCUUUUUUUUUUCUUUGGGGUCAACCUUUGAAACAAAAUUUGCCUUGAGAAGCAGAGGGUAAUGUGGGAGCCUUUCUGGUUCUGCACUUACUGGAACGGGUACAAUCAUUCAUAUUUUGUCCAAAACUCAGUGAAAUAGCUGAAUAUUUUCUAGACAGCUGCCAUGUCUAAUCACACUUAUUUGUGUUAAAGUUUUGAUGGCUGAUUUCCAUUUCUGGGACACUUUCAUGCCAUCUAAUGGACACAACAUUAUUUUAAAAUUGUGGACACAGACAGGAGCAUUGCUUGAAAUAAGACUGAUUGUGAAACAAGGUAGCCCUAUUUAGAGUUAAUUAUGACCCCUUGAGGGGACUUGGCAUAAGCAGCCCUGAGAAUAUUUAACGAAUUGGGAUGUUAGCCCAAGGAACAUUUAAUGGGCUUGAAAUAAGCCCACAUCUUUUCCCUUUUUUUGCUUCUUGUCUCUUUCUCUCGUUUGUUUUCAGUUUGAGAGAAGUAUAAUUGAAUUGGCAAAGUGUUCUCUCUGACAUUGAUUUUUACAGCCUCUUUACCUUUUAGACAAAGUUUCAUAUGUUACUGAUUUGAAAAUUCACCAUGAG